GCGGUCGUGGCGGAAUGGCAUACGCGCUAGCUUGAGGUGCUAGUACUCGACAAGGGUGUGCGGGUUCAAGUCCCGCCGACCGCACCA
Molecule: transfer RNA, 87 nt
Filed under: Oscillospiraceae bacterium
Lineage: Bacteria; Bacillati; Bacillota; Clostridia; Eubacteriales; Oscillospiraceae
Description: tRNA-Leu
Rfam family: tRNA
About the family: Transfer RNA (tRNA) molecules are approximately 80 nucleotides in length.
Source: RNAcentral